Molecule: long non-coding RNA, 481 nt
Organism: Nothoprocta perdicaria
Lineage: Eukaryota; Metazoa; Chordata; Aves; Tinamiformes; Tinamidae
Exons: 2
Source: RefSeq, a predicted model, not a curated record
GAGGCUUGGCGCAGCAGCGUCGCAGCACUUGAUCAAUAGUAGUGCUGAAGUUGGGAAUUGCAUGCAAAGCUUCCAGGACACAUACGAGCUAUAAAAUCCUGUCUCUGGUUGCAAAGUGACAAUCGUCAAUUUUAUUUAUUUAUUUCUUGCACCUUACUCUGACUGUGAAAUGUGGACAAGUUGGCACAAGAACAUCAGAGGACCUAGAAAUCAUUAAUCAACAGUACCUCCAAGCUAUUAUGCUUAUCAAGUGUCAACAUAAAAACACUUUUCUGGCCAGGAAAUCUAACAGAAGACAUGCAAGCAUCUGAUAUUUUCCUGUCGCCUGGGGUAAUUGCAAUAUGAUGAAUGAACAUUCAAUGCUUUGCAUACAUUCUGCUUCUGUUACCCCCUUUUUAUGAUCCGAAGGUAGGAAUUCUUAUUAAAAUUUUCCACACCAGGAACUUCUUCAUUGCAUUUGAGAUGAACAAAUGCCUCAGGA